AAAGAAAAAAUGUUACGGGCAGUCAGAGAGAAAGGUCAGGUUACCUACAAAGGGAAGCCCAUCAGACUAACAGUGGAUCUCUCCGCAGAAAACCCACAAGCCAGAAGAGAGUGGGGACCAAUAUUCAACAUUCUUAAAAAAAAAGAAUUUUCAACUCAGAAUUUUGCAUACAGCCAAACUAAGCUUCAUAAGUGCAGGAGAAAUAAAAUCAUUUACAGACAAGCAAAUGCUGAGGGAUUAUGUCACCACCAGGCCUGCUUUACAAGAGCUCCUAAAGGAAGCACUAAACAGGGAUACAGAAAAUUAUCAAGAAUAUUCAGGACUUGAAUUCAGCUCUGGACCAAGCAGACCUAAUAGAC
Molecule: long non-coding RNA, 359 nt
Filed under: Pan troglodytes (chimpanzee)
Lineage: Eukaryota; Metazoa; Chordata; Mammalia; Primates; Hominidae
Description: long non-coding RNA NONPTRT014573
Source: RNAcentral